This 3882-nucleotide long non-coding RNA is filed under the name Ricinus communis (castor bean). RNAcentral's name for it is "long non-coding RNA (RCOM_LNC000349)". The record is from RNAcentral. Lineage: Eukaryota; Viridiplantae; Streptophyta; Magnoliopsida; Malpighiales; Euphorbiaceae.
UUUUUUCUUGAUAAAAAUAUUUAAGAAUAUAUUAGGCAUUUGGUGGAGGCGGUGUUCUGAUAGGGAAUGGAAAUGGAAAAGGAAAAGGAAAUGGCCAAAAUCUAGGAGGUGGAGGCGGGGGAUUGCGAGGUGGAGGAGGUGGCAGUGUGCGAGGUGGAGGUGGAGGUGGAGGAUUGCGAGGUGGUGGUGAUACUGGAGAUUUUGGAGGUAAUGUAGGAGAUCUAGGUGGAAGUGAUUGUGGUGGUGAUACUAGAGAUUUUGGAGGUAAUGUAGGAGAUCUAGGUGGGAGCGAUUGUGGUGGUGAUACUGGAGAUUUUGGAGGAAACAUGGGUGAAGAUCUUGGCGGCAAUGUAGGAGAUCUAGGUGGGAGCGACUGUGGUGGUGAUACUGGAGAUUUUGGAGGUGGUGACGAUGGGGAUUUAGGAGGAAACGUGGGUGGAGAUCUUGGGGGCAAUGUAGAAGAUCUAGGUGGGAGCGACUGUGGUGGUGAUACUGGAGAUUUUGAAGGUGGUGACGAUGGGGAUUUAGGAGGAAACGUGGGUGAAGAUCUUGGCGGCGAUGUAGGAGAUCUGUGUGGUGGUGAUACUGGAGAUUUUGGAGGUGGUGACGAUGGGGAUUUAGGAGGAAACGUGGGUGGAGACCUUGGCGGCGAUGUAGGAGAUCUAGGUGGGAGCGACUGUGGUGGUGAUACUGGAGAUUUUGGAGGUGGUGACGAUGGGGAUUUAGGUGGAAAUGUAGGUGGAGAUCUUGGCGGCGAUGUGGGAGAUCUAAGUGGGAGUGAUUGUGCUGGUGAUACUAGAAAUUUUGGAGGUGGUGACGACAGAGAGUUAGGAGGAAAGGUGGGUGGAGAUCUUGGCGGUGAUGUAGGAGAUUUAGAUGGUGAUAAAAGUGGAGCUUUUGGUGGCAAAGACGGUGGAGAUUUUAUUGGUGGUAAUUGUGGUGGUAAUAUAGGAGUUUUAGGUGGUUGUGAGGGCAAAGGUGUCUUAAUAGGUGAAGGAGGCGGCGGCGGCGGUGAAUUUGUUAUUUUAGGCGGAGGUGGUGGUGAUUUUCUAAUUUUAGGUGGUGGCGGUGGUGGUGACUUUUUAAUUUUAGGCGGCGGAGGUGGCGAUUUUCUAAUUUUUGGUGGUGGCGGUGGGGGUGGCGACCUUCUAAUUUUGGGUGGUGGUGGCGGUGGCGACCUUUUAAUUUUAGGCGGUGGAGGCGAUCUCCUAUUUAUAGGAGGUGGUGGUGGUGGAGGCCGUCUCUUGUAUAUAGGAGUUGGUGGUGGUGGUGGUGGUGGUGGUGGUGGUGGUGAUUUGCGACGAGUAGUUGAUAGUUGUUCAUUUGAUUCAGCUACUGUAGUAGUAGUAGGAGCAGCAGCAGCAGCAGCAGUAGCGGCCAGUAAGUAGAUCACUAACACAUAUACGAGAUGACACCAUAGUGGCGACACCAUCUUGGGAGGGAGUCUUGUUUCUUCUCUCCUAUUACUCAAGGAGAAUAUUACAAGUGCAUAAAGAAUGAAAAAUGCAACCUUUAAAUACUAAGGUUGAUGCACUUGCUGCUUUGGUAUCUUUAAAUCGAUAAUAGCAUAUUAUAGGGACGGGCCCUUGUUUAAUAAUCCCCUUAAUUUUAGGUCCGACCCUCAUUCUUCCAUAUUGCCAAUUAAGUGCUUUUUCAUGAAUAUUUCUUUUUCAUUAAUAUCAAUACAAAAAAAGAAAGAAAUCUAAUCUAACCUAAUCUAAUAAACCGAACGUGAAUUUAAUACAGCCUUUUUGCAUUUAUAUGUCUACAUCCACCUUCACAUACAAAUUUUUGAUUUUUCUUUUUUUGCUUAUUUUUUCUGAACUUUUACUUUUUUUUUUUUUACUUUUUGAUAAUUUAUAAUGUAAAAUAUAAAUUCCAACGUAGCGACAAUUCAAAAUUCUAGACAUGAAGAGUAUAAAUUAAUAGAAUUUCUUUCUUGUUUAUGCAGUAGAGUUCAGAAUAUAUAUUAUUAUUUAAAAUCAAUAAUCAAGUUGUUAUGAUGAUAUGAAUUUUCAAAACAGCAUAGUUGAAAAUUGGCACACCUUCAAUUGUGAAAAAUUAAUUAAUGAGAAAGGUACCCAGUCCUAAUCCUACCUUGUACCAGAAAUAUUACCUGCUUAACAUAUACAAAUACAAGACAUGGACAUAAUUUGGUCUACAUAAAUAGAGUGGUACAGUUACACUUGCAUACAUUCAAGUUUUAUACUUAAUGCACUCUUUAUUACAACAAAUUAAAAGAGGGAAGUAAACUAUUUCAUGUGACAAAAUAUAUAAUAUAUAUAUAUAUAUAUAUAUAUAUAUAUAUAUAUAUAUAUAUAUAUUUAUUUAUUUAUUUAUUUUAGAGCUUUAAUAAUUUAUUUUUAUAUAUAAUAUGAUAUAAAGAUUUGUUUUACCUCACUUUAGUUUUUCUUGUCUAAAUUCAGGAAAUAAUGCAAAAAAUGAGAAUUUGAGCUAAAAGCGCACUAAUGGGCGUAAUUGGACUGCGGCUAUUAAAAGCUCGAGAAUCAGACACGUGGACUAUUAAUAGUUUGGGCCUAGCUUAAUUCAUUAAAGCCCAAAAAGGGGAGUUUAAGUAAUUAUUAUAUAAUUAGUGGAUAAUUAUCAUUUGAAUUGUUUAGUUUGUUUAGGACAACAAGGGAUAAACUAUAGGAGUUGUAUGUGGAGAAAAGAAUUCUAAAGAAGGAAAUCUCUACAAGGAGCAGAGGUGAAUUAGAAUAGGGAGUCCUUUGGCUACUGGAACUCUCGGAAGAAGGAUUCUAUUAUUCUCUACAAAAAAUUCUAGAGUUCAUCAUUUUUUACAUCUUUCUAGCUUGUGUUGCAUCAUUCUUUAAAGAAUCAGAUAAGCUUUUCGAAGACGUGGAAAAAGAGAACCAAUUUUCUUCAUUCCUUGAAGAGCCUUUGAACUUUGAGGGAGUUUUAGUUUUUUGUUUUAUGAAUCUUAAGUUUUUCUAUUUAAUUACAAUGAUCAUUGGAUUAAGUAUAUUAGGCCAAGUCCUAUAAGUGUUUAGUUUGGUUUUUUACUUAUAUAUGAAUCUUAUAUAUUUUGAGUUUAACGAAUGAUUUCUUUUUCUUCAUAUGUUCAUUAGUUUCAUCUAUUAUUAUUGAUUGACCAUCAUAUCAAUUUAGUAGUAAUAUGUGUUAUGAAAAUCUUUAAGUUAAAAGUAUUAGAGAUACCAUCUUUACUUUAAUCUAUGUUAGUAUAACAAACCUAAAUUGCAUCAUUAGCUUGAGUGACUUGGGAAAAAGGAAAAAGAAACAUCACCAUCUCAUUUGUUAAAUUAGGCUUAAGGGAAUUAAGGGUAUUACUAAGUAAAAGCUAGACUAAAUGCUAUUUUAUCAUAUAGUUUAUAUUAAUCAUUCUAAUUGCAUAUUUAUUUUCUGGUUAUUUAAUUUCUUUUAUUAAACUAAGAUCAUUUUCAAAACAUCGGCUUAGAGUGUUUAUAUUUACUUUCAGUAAUUUGUGUGAUAGUUGGUCUUUAUAAUAUAUACUCUACAAUUCCUUGUGAGAUCGACCUCGUGGUAAACUUACCCGAACUACCAUUAAGUUCGUAAACUGCGAAUAUUAAUUUAGACACACAUACAUAUAUAUAUAUAUAUAUAUAUAGAUUAUAAAAAUAACAAAUAAGAGAAAAAAGAAUUGCAAUCAAACUGUUGCUUUUUUUUCUUUUUUCAUUUCAUCUCAGUACUUGGGAGAAAAUCUAUAUAUUUAAACUCUUAAUCUCCAUGGAGAUUGUACCAAUUGAGCAAUUAUGAUUGAUAUGUACCCAGAAACUUAGGAUUAAUUGAAGUUGGUCGUGAUUAGAGUAUUCGAGCUCAAUUGAUAGACCUUGGUUAUUUGCAGCGGCUCAAAACCCAAAUCCUUCAAAAGUUAUGUAUGGC